GGGUCAUAGAAUCUAGUGACAAGAGAGAUGACUGUACUCUUUCCACACCCGCUGCUACCGACUAAGGCAACGGUUUGUCCUGCUGGAAUGGACAAGGAGAAGCCUUGAAGGAUUAGUUUAUGAGGACGAGACGGAGGGCUUCCUUUGAAUCACUUGGAAAACUUCCUUCCCUGCAGCCUUUGCCUGGUUGAAUAUUUGUAAGUCUGGUGCAGCGUAAGUCAGUGAGCUGCAACCCACCAAAAAAAAAAGGAAAAAAGAGAGGGGUUUUAACACAAGACUUCCUAAACCACCGGAUUCAUGAAAUCGUUGAUUGACUCAAAAACUUAAGUUGAUGGAUGAAUGUAAGUUUAAUAUUAUAUCAUCUAAUAGUUGAUAUUGUUUUCUUUUUACUUACAUUGCUCCAAAGAG
This is a non-coding RNA of Benincasa hispida (wax gourd), 408 nucleotides long. Lineage: Eukaryota; Viridiplantae; Streptophyta; Magnoliopsida; Cucurbitales; Cucurbitaceae. The record is from RefSeq and is a predicted model, not a curated record.